Molecule: transfer RNA, 65 nt
Filed under: Dipodomys ordii (Ord's kangaroo rat)
Lineage: Eukaryota; Metazoa; Chordata; Mammalia; Rodentia; Heteromyidae
Rfam family: tRNA
About the family: Transfer RNA (tRNA) molecules are approximately 80 nucleotides in length.
Source: Rfam by way of RNAcentral
GGUGGCUCAAUGGUAUAGCGCUUGCCUUGCAUGCAUGAGGCCCUGGGUUCAAUUCCUCAGCACCA